UAUUUCCUAAAAUCAGUUUUUUUUCUUAAUUUUCUUUUCAUAUGACCCUAAUCUAACUACAGGAGAUUGGAUGCAGGUAUGUAUAGAUGGCAGCAGAAAUUUUUCUCUCUCCUGGGUCACUUAUCUCAAUUAGUAUGAAGCCUCUCAGUGUCAUACAUAGUAAUGACUCAGUAUGUGAUUAACCAAAUUACUUAUUCCAGAUACAUUAAAUUUGGGGAAUUUAAAUUUAUGAAGAAGGAAAAAUGGCAGAGGAAGACACGGUUAACAAGAAGGAUGGAAUGAUGAGCCUAAUGAAAGGGUUUGGCUGAAUGCUCUCUGGUGUCUCCUGAAACUCUUGAGAUUUCUUGACCCAAUUAUCCUAGAGAUUGUUCAAAACUUCCUCCUACAAUUCUUCUCCCUUAUAAAAUAUAUUUUGAAUAUUCUACAGAAUUAAUAUUUUGGGGAAAAAAUCAUUCCCUUAGUCAUUCUCAAUGGAUUGUUUUCAACCUGACUUCCAGUGAGGAAUUAAUUCUGAGUCUCAUAGUGAAAAUAUUUGGGAAUUUCUGGAUGUAGAAGUAAGACUCUUUGUUCAAGCAUAUGCCAGAUUUUUUGUCUUUGUUUUUGUAACUGCCACACAUUACUUCAUUUACCAAAGAAGAGUGAUUCUUUGCUUUCUCCUUUGACUUUCUAACUCCUGAUUUUGUAUCUCAGUCUUUUUCACUCAUAAUCAACCUUUUGUCCCACCAUGGAGGCAAAUCAAGAUCCUAGGCUUCUCUGUGCAGAUUUACUCAUGUUUUUAAAUACAUAGAUUUGCAGUUGGAAGUUCUUUCUUCCUCCAUAUUGAGGAGACAUGUUGAAGUUGCUGAGUGAUUGGUGAGAGAAGCUGCAUGGCACUCACUAUGUGUCUGGAUUUCUCUGCCUGGAUGAGUGAGAAUCUGCUGGUAUCAUGACACAACUUACUGUUGGCAGCCUUGCCAGCUGCCUGGUUUGGGCAUGCACUCUGGCUGCUCUUAACUGCCUUAACUUCAGGUUAUCCAUUGUCACAGUAGACAUGCAGCCUAUGCCCUGUGUGAAGGCAAGAAGAGGAGGGGGUUUGAAAAACACAGAAGAUAGGUUAGGUAUAGAGUCUUGGUUGUCAUCUCUUGACGGGGGAUGUGACCUCCGUAAGGAGAAUGUUCUCAGCCUGAUGGUUCUGAGAGUCAGUGCAGCUUUAAUGUCAUUUUGAAUAAUUCAGUUGAG
This 1218-nucleotide long non-coding RNA is filed under the name Marmota monax (woodchuck). Lineage: Eukaryota; Metazoa; Chordata; Mammalia; Rodentia; Sciuridae. The record is from RNAcentral.